Long non-coding RNA from Oncorhynchus gorbuscha (pink salmon), 437 nucleotides. RefSeq lists it as uncharacterized. The record is from RefSeq and is a predicted model, not a curated record. Lineage: Eukaryota; Metazoa; Chordata; Actinopteri; Salmoniformes; Salmonidae. The transcript is spliced from 3 exons.
UCAAAGACCAUAGAUGAAACGUCAUCCACAAGAUUUUUUUCGCAACGGUGUCAGGGGUCACAAUCACUGUCAUUUACUCACGUAUGGUGGUCAAUGGAGGAAAACCCCCCCGGGCCCUUUGCAAGCAGAAUGAGUGUCACUUACGAAGCCGGAGAGAGUGAAGCCUUGAUGAGGUGAACAUAUACACUGACCUGGCUACAUUCAGAGAAGAAGAGUCCAGCUCAGUCAGAACAGGAGAGUAUUGUGGCAAGUUGGAACAGCUCCAGACUUAACCUUAACCUUGACCUUGUGAAAGACACAGAGGACAAUGAGACUAUCCUCCAGAACACUUAUGACCCUGACCAGGGCAACCCUUGUUUCACUAAGAACAAGCUCAGUGAGAGGGAGGUAGCAGAGAAGGUCAACAACAACAAUGGGAACCAGUUACUCCAGGAGAA